AACUGCAUACUGCUUUGAACAUCGACAUCUUGAACGCAUAUUGCGGCCACGGGUUAGCCUGUGGCCACGCCUGUCCGAGGGUC
Molecule: ribosomal RNA, 83 nt
Filed under: Paragonimus westermani
Lineage: Eukaryota; Metazoa; Platyhelminthes; Trematoda; Plagiorchiida; Troglotrematidae
Description: partial 5.8S ribosomal RNA
Rfam family: 5.8S ribosomal RNA
About the family: 5.8S ribosomal RNA (5.8S rRNA) is a component of the large subunit of the eukaryotic ribosome.
Source: RNAcentral